ACGGCUCAGUAACACGUGGACAACUUGUCCUUUGGACCGGGAUAACCCCUGGGAAACUGGGGCUAAUACCGGAUAGAGCAUUGAUAGCUGGAAUGCACGAUGCUCGAAAGCUGAGGCGCCAAAGGGUAGGUCUGCGGCCGAUUAGGUUGUUGUUGAUGUAAUGGAUCAACAAGCCUCCGAUCGGUAUGGGUUGUGAGAGCAAUAUCCCAGAGAUGGGUUCUGAGAGAAGAACCCAGGUCCUACGGGGCGCAGCAGGCGCGAAAACUUUACAAUUUGCGAAAGCACGAUAAGGGAACUCUGAGUGCCUCCAAAGGAGGCUGUUCAGGUGUCUAAAAAGCAUCUGAAGUAAGGGCUGGGUAAGACCGGUGCCAGCAGCCGCGGUAACACCGGCAGCCCAAGUGGUGGCCACUUUUACUGGGUCUAAAGCGUUCGUAGCCGGCCAUGUAAGUUCCUUGGGAAAUUUGACCGCUUAACGGUUAAGCUUCCAGGGAAUACUGCUUGGCUUGGGACCGGGAGAGGUCAGAGGUACCUCAAGGGUAGGGGUGAAAUCCGUUAAUCCUUGGGGGACCGCCAGUAGCGAAGGCGUCUGACCAGACCGGAUCCGACGGUGAGGGACGAAGGCUAGGGUAGCGAACCGGAUUAGAUACCCGGGUAGUCCUAGCUGUAAACGAUGCGGGCUAGGUGUUGGCAUUACUGCGAGUGAUGCCAGUGCCGAAGGGAAGCCGUUAAGCCCGCCAUCUGGGGAGUACGGUCGCAAGGCUGAAACUUAAAGGAAUUGGCGGGGGAGCACUACAACGGGUGGAGCUUGCGGUUC
RNAcentral lists this ribosomal RNA (814 nucleotides) under uncultured archaeon. RNAcentral's name for it is "bacterial SSU rRNA". It matches the Rfam family "Archaeal small subunit ribosomal RNA", at positions 85 to 903 of the family's 1478-position model. The record is from RNAcentral.